Molecule: small nuclear RNA, 308 nt
Filed under: Dasypus novemcinctus (nine-banded armadillo)
Lineage: Eukaryota; Metazoa; Chordata; Mammalia; Cingulata; Dasypodidae
Description: 7SK RNA (ENSDNOG00000032917.1)
Rfam family: 7SK RNA
About the family: 7SK was discovered as an abundant small nuclear RNA in the mid-70s but a possible function has only recently been suggested. Two independent studies have found that 7SK RNA binds the CDK9/cyclin T complex (known as elongation factor P-TEFb).
Source: RNAcentral
GUUUGUGUGAUCUGGCUGUGACAUCUGUCAGCCCAUUUAUUGCCAGGAUUGAUUUGGCUGAUCUGGCUGGCUGGAUGGGUGUUCCUUUCCUCUCUCACUGCUCCAUGUGUGUCCCUCCUGAAGCUGCAUGCUUGCUCAAAGAGGAUGACUGUCCCCACUAAAGGUCAAGGGUGUAGGAGUUGCUGUGCUCCCCUGCUAGAACCUCCAAACAAGUCCUCAAGAUUGCAUUUUAGAAGUAUCUUUAGACCUGACUUCUGCAAUCAUUUUUACAUUGCCAGCUUUGGAUUCCAGAGGAGCCCUGGAUCUCU